Molecule: long non-coding RNA, 2936 nt
Organism: Aethalodelphis obliquidens (Pacific white-sided dolphin)
Lineage: Eukaryota; Metazoa; Chordata; Mammalia; Artiodactyla; Delphinidae
Exons: 4
Source: RefSeq, a predicted model, not a curated record
CCCCCAUGGCCUACCUGGAAACCUAGCAUCCCUUCACUACCCUCUGCACCCCCACCCUGCAGUGCCCCACCCCAAACCAGACUGGGCUCCUCCCCCCACCACACACUGGUCCAGGGAGCGCCACAUAAACUGGCUGGGCUGGAAGGAGGCUGGUGAAAUGCCAACUUCCCGGCUUGCCCGGGCACUUUCGCAGGCAAGGAAAGAGGAUCCCAACGCUCCAAACCAAAGCAGCUUUCAGGACAGAGAACGCGGCCCUGUGUGGUCAGCAUUUCUGAACUACGCUGCCUUUUCAACCUGCCAGGGGUCCGAGACAAGCAGCCUGCCCCACGAACAGCCACGUGCCCUCACCGCUCCCGCUUUACAGUGUGGGCUCUGGGUUCCAGCCGCUUCAGUGGGGCUCCAGCCUGAGCGCGGGGGCAGCAUCAGGCCAGACCCAGGGCGAGGCUCCUUGUGAGACCCCCCCACCCCCCCACCUGCCCAGGGCCCAGGAAGUCUGGCCCGCACCCCAGCCCCCCACACCGACCAUGCAUUUCCAGGCCAGUAGCUGCCUCGCGCCCAAACGCUGAGGCAGGACAUGCACUCCAUACCCUGUACAGUAGCCCAGAAAUGUGACCCUAAUCCAGAUCCAUCUGCUGGUUUUAGGAAAUUCACAGACGGAGGAAGGAGAGGCAGCUGGAUCAAGGACCUGGCUUAUCCUGUGAAGAAAGGAUGGGGAGGGGACGCCGGCAAUAGAGAGAUGUGAGUAGGAGACCUCAGCUGGACUGGAUUCAAACGAAACCAACUUGACAACACGCAUGUGGCAACCGAGAAAUCUGAUGAUGGCUCCGGACGCGCAGGCUCUGCGGCACGUGGGAUCUUCCCGGACCGGGGCACGAACCCGUGUCCCCUGCAUCGGCAGGCGGACUCCCAACCACUGCGCCACCAGGGAAGCCCUGUUGUUUUUUAAAGUAACAGCUUUGUUGCGAUAUAGUGGUUAUCAGGUUACAGAGCUGUGCAACUAUCACCACGACCUAAAAUUCUACUUUUUAUCUGCUUGAAAUGCUCCACAGUUCUCCUUGCUUCACGGCUGGGGUGCCAGAGGCGUUGAUGUCUGAAUGAACUGCCCAGGGCAUCUGUCCUGUCCCCUGGCUGGGGCAGCAGGAGCCCUGGGGCAGCUUCCACCUGUCCUGGGACAUCAAAAGGCCUCAGGAUGGUACUCUCACCAGCUCCUGCCCUAGCCUGUCUGUCUGAGGGUCUGCAGCCCAUAGAACCAGGGUCUCCCAGGCCCUUCUGGGUUUGCUGGACAAUAGGCCAGUGUCCAAAACCCCAGGGCUCUGACUCAAGGGGCACCUCUAGGGAGACCAGCCAGUCCUACUGGGAACUCUUAUUCCUAGGGGGUUUGUAGCACCAGAUGCUUGCUGGGAAGGGGCAGCCCUGUGGGAUCCACAGUGACCUGGAUCCAGGACCUCAACACUGACCACCCCUAAAUGUGCAGGCCCUGCUCUCGCCCCAGCCAUCUGUCCACAGGCCAUCCCAGUGUACCCAGGCAGGGCUGCAGCUUCUCCCCUCCUCUGGGCCCUACUCCUCCAUAAACCCAAGAGCUCUCCUUGGAGGGUGCAGAGGAUGGUCUUGUAGCCUGAGACAGCGAGGCAGACUAGUUAGUGGCCUGGACACAGAAACCAGACCCAGCACUUCACCGUCCUUUAUUAACACCCCUGUAGGGCGACGUGGAAGUGCUGGCCACUUGCUGGGGGGGCGGGGGGUGUGGCACAGUGGCCAGGUGACUGGGGGAGGCGGACAGAUGCAGCUCCCAGCCCAUCUGCAGGCUGCUGUGGCAGUGGAACCUGGGCAGUGGCGUUUUGGCUGAUCAGCUGCUGGGGACCUUGCAAGUGACCGCUGUGUAGACAGGAGCCCCUGUGGACAUGCCACUCCUGCUCAGGGAGCCAGGAGGGGACACUGCCCGCUCCAUGAAGGCAGCAGCCGCCUGCUGGCACUGAGAGGUUUUGGUGAAACUGAUUGAUUGUUAAAGCAACUGGGGAUGGGCUGGACCGGGGGGGCAGGGGUGUGGGGCACCUGUGGGUCACACCCAGACCCUCCCUCCUGGGUACUCAUUCUGCCCUGGCCCGGCAGCUGUGGGUGCGCAGCUACCUUUGAGAACAUCAUAAAAGCUAUGGUCCCUCUCCUGGGAUGAAAGUGCAGGUGCACGGGUCAUUUGGUGAGCGAUGCCGGGGGUCCACACCCCCACUCUAUCACCCAGGUCCUCGGUGGAAGCUGCUGGAAGACAGUGCUGGGGGCCCUGGGCUUAGUGAAAGGAAGAGACUACAGGGGCUGGAGACUCCAGACUGCAGAAAGCCUGGACAGCCUGCCCCUCCCAACUCCAGGGUUAACUGCCUACUUGGGGAGAGAGAAAACUGAACCUGGGGCCUAGACACCUUCCUCUGAGGGAGUCACUGGUGUGCAGAGGAGGCCGCUGGACAUCAGGACGGCACUUUGAUGCCGAAGUGUUUGCGAAGCUGCUCCAGAAACACAAACUGCAGAACACCCUGCAAAAAACGCAAGAUAAUGCAAUAAGAUGGAAAGCUGCUUCUCGAAAGGCACAAACGCCCACCCCCCACCCCCGCACCUGAUGGCAGGCAUGAGUGUGCAAAGCAGCCUGCAAGUUCAAAGGUAAACACGGGAGGUGGGGUUGGCAGGCACAAAGGUCAAGGGCUGCCCUGCCCACUAACCAGGCAAAACUAGAAUCUGAAAAACCACCCAGGGCCAGGCUGACCUGCCAGGCACCUACGGUGCUUGAGCGGCUGCCAUAAAGGCACAGAAGACACUGUGCGUGAUGGAGGGAGCCUCGGACAGGUGCUUGGCCCCAGGCGCUGGACCUGCCGACCUGCACCGUGCCGAGUUUCACUGACUGCAGUGAUCCAACUGCCUCUGUUAACGAGUCAAAGAAUCUGAUUUAAAAA